GACGAACGCUGGCGGCGUGCUUAACACAUGCAAGUCGAACGGAAAGGCCCUGCUUUUGUGGGGUGCUCGAGUGGCGAACGGGUGAGUAACACGUGAGUAACCUGCCCUUGACUUUGGGAUAACUUCAGGAAACUGGGGCUAAUACCGGAUAGGAGCUCCUGCUGCAUGGUGGGGGUUGGAAAGUUUCGGCGGUUGGGGAUGGACUCGCGGCUUAUCAGCUUGUUGGUGGGGUAGUGGCUUACCAAGGCUUUGACGGGUAGCCGGCCUGAGAGGGUGACCGGCCACAUUGGGACUGAGAUACGGCCCAGACUCCUACGGGAGGCAGCAGUGGGGAAUAUUGCACAAUGGGCGGAAGCCUGAUGCAGCAACGCCGCGUGCGGGAUGACGGCCUUCGGGUUGUAAACCGCUUUCGCCUGUGACGAAGCGUGAGUGACGGUAAUGGGUAAAGAAGCACCGGCUAACUACGUGCCAGCAGCCGCGGUGAUACGUAGGGUGCGAGCGUUGUCCGGAUUUAUUGGGCGUAAAGGGCUCGUAGGUGGUUGAUCGCGUCGGAAGUGUAAUCUUGGGGCUUAACCCUGAGCGUGCUUUCGAUACGGGUUGACUUGAGGAAGGUAGGGGAGAAUGGAAUUCCUGGUGGAGCGGUGGAAUGCGCAGAUAUCAGGAGGAACACCAGUGGCGAAGGCGGUUCUCUGGGCCUUUCCUGACGCUGAGGAGCGAAAGCGUGGGGAGCGAACAGGCUUAGAUACCCUGGUAGUCCACGCUGUAAACGGUGGGUACUAGGUGUGGGGUCCAUUCCACGGGUUCCGUGCCGUAGCUAACGCUUUAAGUACCCCGCCUGGGGAGUACGGCCGCAAGGCUAAAACUCAAAGGAAUUGACGGGGCCCCGCACAAGCGGCGGAGCAUGCGGAUUAAUUCGAUGCAACGCGUAGAACCUUACCUGGGUUUGACAUGGAUCGGGAGCGCUCAGAGAUGGGUGUGCCUCUUUUGGGGUCGGUUCACAGGUGGUGCAUGGCUGUCGUCAGCUCGUGUCAUGAGAUGUUGGGUUAAGUCCCGCAACGAGCGCAACCCUUGUUCACUGUUGCCAGCACGUUAUGGUGGGGACUCAGUGGAGACCGCCGGGGUCAACUCGGAGGAAGGUGGGGAUGACGUCAAGUCAUCAUGCCCCUUAUGUCCAGGGCUUCACGCAUGCUACAAUGGCUGGUACAGAGAGUGGCGAGCCUGUGAGGGUGAGCGAAUCUCGGAAAGCCGGUCUCAGUUCGGAUUGGGGUCUGCAACUCGACCUCAUGAAGUCGGAGUCGCUAGUAAUCGCAGAUCAGCAACGCUGCGGUGAAUACGUUCCCGGG
RNAcentral lists this ribosomal RNA (1343 nucleotides) under uncultured bacterium. Its description in RNAcentral is "16S ribosomal RNA". It matches the Rfam family "Bacterial small subunit ribosomal RNA", at positions 28 to 1378 of the family's 1533-position model. The record is from RNAcentral.